UACGAAGGGGGCUAGCGUUGCUCGGAAUUACUGGGCGUAAAGCGUAUGCAGGCGGACUUUUAAGUCGGGGGGUGAAAUCCCGAGGCUCAACCUCGGAACUGCCUUCGAUACUGGAAGUCUUGAGUCCGGGAGAGGUGAGUGGAACUCCGAGUGUAGAGGUGAAAUUCGUAGAUAUUCGGAGAACACCAGUGGCGAAGGCGGCUCACUGGCCCGGUACUGACGCUGAGAUACGAAAGCGUGGGAAGCGAACAGG
This 253-nucleotide ribosomal RNA is filed under the name uncultured bacterium. RNAcentral's name for it is "partial 16S ribosomal RNA". It matches the Rfam family "Bacterial small subunit ribosomal RNA", at positions 524 to 776 of the family's 1533-position model. The record is from RNAcentral.